UACGUAGGGAGCAAGCGUUGUCCGGAAUCAUUGGGCGUAAAGGGCUCGUAGGCGGCCAACUAAGUCCGACGUGAAAUCCCCAGGCUUAACCUGGGAACUGCGUCGGAUACUGGAUGGCUUGAAUCCGGGAGAGGGACGCGGAAUUCCAGGUGUAGCGGUGAAAUGCGUAGAUAUCUGGAGGAACACCGGUGGCGAAGGCGGCAUCCUGGACCGGCAUUGACGCUGAGGAGCGAAAGCCAGGGGAGCAAACGGG
RNAcentral lists this ribosomal RNA (253 nucleotides) under uncultured bacterium. Its description in RNAcentral is "partial 16S ribosomal RNA". It matches the Rfam family "Bacterial small subunit ribosomal RNA", at positions 524 to 776 of the family's 1533-position model. The record is from RNAcentral.